This 720-nucleotide ribosomal RNA is filed under the name Pyrenochaeta sp. Its description in RNAcentral is "partial large subunit ribosomal RNA". It matches the Rfam family "Eukaryotic large subunit ribosomal RNA", at positions 76 to 814 of the family's 3401-position model. Lineage: Eukaryota; Fungi; Ascomycota; Dothideomycetes; Pleosporales; Cucurbitariaceae. The record is from RNAcentral.
UGCCCUAGUAACGGCGAGUGAAGCGGCAUCAGCUCAAAUUUGAAAUCUGGCUCUUUCAGGGUCCGAGUUGUAAUUUGCAGAGGGAGCUUUCGAGUUGGCAGCGGUCUAAGUUCCUUGGAACAGGACGUCACAGAGGGUGAGAAUCCCGUACGUGGUCGCAGGCCUUCUCGAGGUAAAGCCCCUUCGACGAGUCGAGUUGUUUGGGAAUGCAGCUCUAAAUGGGAGGUAAAUUUCUUCUAAAGCUAAAUACUGGCCAGAGACCGAUAGCGCACAAGUAGAGUGAUCGAAAGAUGAAAAGCACUUUGGAAAGAGAGUCAAAUAGCACGUGAAAUUGUUGAAAGGGAAGCGCUUGCAGCCAGACUUGCCUGUAGUUGCUCAUCCGGGCUUUUGCCCGGUGCACUCUUCUAUAGGCAGGCCAGCAUCAGUUUGGGCGGUUGGAUAAAGGUCUCUGUCACGUACCUCCUCUCGGGGAGGCCUUAUAGGGGAGACGACAUGCAACCAGCCUGGACUGAGGUCCGCGCAUCUGCUAGGAUGCUGGCGUAAUGGCUGUAAGCGGCCCGUCUUGAAACACGGACCAAGGAGUCUAACAUCUAUGCGAGUGUUUGGGUGUCAAGCCCGAGCGCGCAAUGAAAGUGAACGGAGGUGGGAUCCCUUAAGGGUGCACCAUCGACCGAUCCUGAAGUCUUCGGAUGGAUUUGAGUAAGAGCAUGGCUGUUGGGA